UACCAACGGAUGAUGGGGUCUGACAAUAGAGCUGCCGGGAACAUUUUCACAGAAGAGGAAGAAGAAGAUUCUGAACUACAUUGAGGCCAUGGAGUGUGUUUAAUGAGUAAUACAGCUAACGGUGUUCCACAAGACUGCUACCACAGACCUUCAUGGGACCUUUCCAUUCUUUCUGGGUUGGCUUGAGGUUCUUCAGAGAGAAACUGAAAACAGGACACAGACCUAAAGCAGAGGACAACAGCUCUACAUUGACUCAGAGGAAUCCUCCAGUACGACGACACAAACCAAAACCACUGCACAGCUCUACAUCAACUCCCACACUUUCAAGAGGAUUCCUGCAGUAUGCUGUUCAUGGUGAAGACCAGCUUGAGGCUAAUAGGGAUGCAAGUUGGACUGCUUAUCAAAGACAAAGGCCUGCUACAGGUCUUCAUCAUUCAUCACAAGGUCGACAUCAUUCAUCUCAAAGGGGGCAUGACAACUGGCUAGUUGGGCUCAAUGUGAAGAAAAAGACUGAAUCUUUUGUGUGUUCACAAAACAUGGACUGUUGACCACACAGUGUUUUGGACUUGUACUACAUCAUGUACUGUACUCUUUUCAAUGACAUCACACUACGUAUUGGUAAAACGGUCCCUGGAGUAAUAUUUGAAUUAGAUUCCUAAUGGCCCAGAAGUCAUGGAUGAGGGUACUGAUGUAUGGUUACAGAUUCAAACCUGCAACCUUCCAAUUGCAAGAUUAAGCUUAAUGCCCAAUAGACCACAGCUCUGUACAGUACAUUUUCUUCUACAUAAAUCCUUUCUCCCUCCAUCAGUCUUACCAAAACAUAAUGUUUUCUUACUGCAACCCCAAUUUCUCCCGUGCCCUGUUUGGCUAGCUGAUUUGUCAUGAAUUUUGGUGGUAUAAAGUAGUAACCAUCUGUGUAUGUAUUAAUAUGUGAAAUUGAACUUGAACAACAAAUAUGUAGUUGAAUUCACGUUUUGACUUAUAAUUUCAAGGCAGCAGGGGAACUUGGUUUUGGUAGUCUUUUUUGAAUGUACUAUACAAGUUAAAAUAAAUGUGGAAUUUCAAUCAUAUAUCACAUGAUGUCUUUCAUUGUGUUAUUUAAACUUUCCAUCCGAAGUUGAAGUGAUUUGUAAUGGCUUUUUAAUUCAGCUUAAACUAUCAAUUUCAUUGAACAAUUGCUACAAAGUCCAAUCAACUUUGACGACUAAGAACAUUAUGUUGAGACAACAACAACAUUGUAGUUGGAUCAACUUUAUAGACUUUGAUUUCUGAGUUGAUACAAAAAUAAUCCUGAAGUUCAGUUAACUUGCAAACUUAAGGCAGCAGGGGAACUUGGA
This is a long non-coding RNA of Engraulis encrasicolus (European anchovy), 1337 nucleotides long. RefSeq lists it as uncharacterized. The record is from RefSeq and is a predicted model, not a curated record. The transcript has 5 exons. Lineage: Eukaryota; Metazoa; Chordata; Actinopteri; Clupeiformes; Engraulidae.